GUAUGUAUGUUCUCAUUUGUGUCAUUUCUGUCUCUUCUCACUUCUCAGUUCUCAGUUCUCUCUACUGUCAAGUCUCUGUCUCUAGAGAAACCCUAACAAGUAAUACCUAGCAGCCACCGCCCGACGCAAGCAGCAGCCGCCGCCCGGUGCAAGCAGCAGCCACCGCCCGUCGGUCUUCCCCUCGCAGGUAAUAACAUUCCUUAGCCACUUGAUAUAUUUUGAUUUGAGAUAGAUAUAAAUCAAUUGAAGAAGAGAACUUUUUUGGUGUAGACUGAGUCUGAGAUACCCUUUUUAUUUCAAUUAGUUUACAACUUGAUGUCUUUAUUAUCACUCCUUUUCUUUUGUUGGUGUAGUGACUCAUACAUGGUUGAAAAUAUACAAAGUGAUAAGGUGAUGAUGGGUGAAAGUGGGGCUUCUAAUUCAAAUGCAAUAAGUCAAGCUCAAACAACAGAUUCAAAUAUAACCAAAAAAAGGAGAAAAAUAUCAGUUGUGUGGGAUCAUUUUGCAGAAAUUGUUACUUCUAAAGGGAGUACAAAAGUAAAAUGUGACUAUUACUUUCAUGAGUAUGUAUUUAAGACCAAGGAUGGUACAUCGAAACUUCUUAAGCUUAUGCUUAAGUGUCCUAAACGCCCUGCUAUUAUUGAUAAAAAAUAAUCAAAUUUAGGCUUUCAAUCUGCUCCGGGGGUAGUCAGGGUGACGUAGUUGUUGUUACUUGGAAAUUUGAUCAAGAAGAAUGUAGGAAGGCAUUAUGUCGUACGAUAAUAGUUGAUGAGCUUCCUUUUAGCUUUGUUGAGAAAGAAGGUUUUAGAGACUUUAUGAAUGUGGCGCAACCUUAUUUUCGGAUCCCUUCACUUAGUAAUGUAACUAGAGAUUGUUUUGAUCUUUUUAAUGAAGAAAAGUAAAAGUUGAAGAGGCUCUUUAUAGAAACAAAACAAAGAGUAUGUAUUGCCGCUGAUACCUGAACAUCUAUACAAAGAAUCAAUUACAUGUGUAUCACUUCUCAUUGGAUUGAUAGUGAAUGUAAUAUGCAUAAGAGAAUAAUUAAUUUUUGUCCUAUUGUUAGUCAUAAAGGCGAAGAUAUGGCAAAUAGUAUUGGUAGGUGCUUACGUGAGUGGGGGAUAAAUAAGAUCUUCACUGUCACAGUUGAUAAUGCAAGCUCAAAUGAUGUGACAGUAAAGGAAUUUUCUAAGCAAUUAACAAAAAUAGGAACUAAUUUGAUGAAUGACACUCACCUUCACGUGAGAUGUAUGGCUCACAUCAUGAAUCUUGUGGUCCAGGAUGGUUUAAAAGAAUCUUCAGUAUCUAUUGAACGUGUUAGGCAUGCGGUAAGAUAUGUUAGGAUGUCUCCUUCAAGGUUAAAGAGGUUUCAAGAAUGUUUUGAUGUUGAAAAACUCAAUUCUAAGAAACUUUGUGCUUAGAUCUCCCAACUAGAUAGAAUUCCACCUACUUGAUGUUGCGCGUGAGAUGUAUUAGGCAGUCUCCUGCAAGGUUGAGAGGUUUCCAGAUUGUUUGAUGCUGAACAACUCAAUUCUAAGAAAAGUUUAUGCUUAGAUGUUCCAACUAGAUGGAGUUUCACCUACUUGAUAUUGCGUAGGGUUGUUGAAUUUGAAAAUACAUUUUCACAUUAUGCUUCUAGUGAAAUUGUCUUGAGACAUUAUCUUGAGCAUUCUUAUAUUGAUGUUGGAAUUCCUACAGGUGAACUUUUGAGCAGUGAUUGGGAGAGUGUAAAAAGAAUUACAAGGUUUCUUGAAAUCUUCUAUCUUCUUACUUUAUGGAUCACGUUAUGUUACAUCAAAUAUUCAUUUCCUUGAAACUUGUGCAGUCACUGUCUAUUUGAAGCAAUUGAUAGAAAAUGAAGAUAUAGUUUUAAGUGAAAUGGCAAAGAAUAUGAAAGAAAAGUUUGAUAAGUAUUGGGGUGAUACAGGGAAAAUGAACAAGAUAAUUUUUAUCUCAUGUAUUUUGGAUCACGUUUCAAAAUCAAAUCAGUUGGCUUUGCACUUGUAAAGAUGUUUUGGUGUAGGUCCGCGGGCAACUAUACAAGUAGAAGUGAUGAAGUACAUGGCUUCAUUUUUCAGUGGGUUCCAACUCAAAAGGUUUUGUGCUUGCUUCAUCUUCAAAUUGUUCUUCAUUGGACACUUCAACUUCUGGGCUUUCUGGCAGUCAAGCAAACACCCAACAAAAUAGGACUUUUAGAAUCACUCAUGCAAGAUAUAAAAAAUUAUCAAAGUGGGAGUGGAGGUGUUGAUACUAGAAUAGAGUUAGAUAAAUAUUUAGGUGAAGAAACUGAGAACGACACUAAAUAAUUUGAUGUUCUUCUUUGGUGGAAAUUGAACUCGGCUAGAUUUCCUAUUCUUACGGAGAUGGCUCGUGAUAUUAGCUGUUCUGCUUUCAAGUGUGGCAUCCGAAUGUGUGUUUAGUACAGGAGGACGUAUUCUUGAUUCAUUUAGGAGUUCAUUAACUACUAAAUUGGUGCAAGCUCUAGUGUGUCUUCAAGAUUGGCUUCGAAAUGAAAAUUUAAAACAACCCAUUAGUGUUGAGGAAGAUUUUUGUAAAAUUGAGCAUCUUGAACAAGGUAAUAAUAUUGUCAAUAUAUUUGUUGUAUAUAAAUGUUGUUGAUAUGCUUAUAUUAUCACGUUACUCAUUAUUCUAAAUUUCUUCUUCAGAUUUAGCUAGCAAUGGAAAAGACCCUUUUGUAAUUGACAUGUAGUCUAUUCUAUUUACUGUUGUAUUUACUGUUGAAGUUCCUGAAUUUGUAUCACGUAAGAAUUCGAAUUUAAGAAUUUACUGAUGUAUCUAUUGUAUUCAUGUAAGAAUUCGAAUUUUACUAGCAGCUGCAACCUUUAACUUAAUGAAUAGUCUUCUGGACGUGUCAUCUCUGCUUAUAUUCUCAAUAAGUUCAAAAGUUGCUUGUUUUCCAUUCAUUUGAACUCCAAACUUAAUGAAAAGACUUCAGAAGUCAUUACUGUAGCCAAGUUGUUGAAACCUCAAAUGUGAAAGUUCAUUUGCAUUAGUUUUUUAUAUGCUAAACUCAGCUUGAGCGUGUAAAUUAUUUAUAACACCAUUUAUUUUUUCAGCCUUGGGAAUGUUUGUCUUCUUCGGUGUUGUACUACUACCUGUUACUUCUACCAGUUGCUUCAACUGAUCAUAGUAUAAAGGCAGCCAAUACCACCAGCAAGCUAAACCAUUUUUCUUCUUUUCAGCAUGUUGAAGUUGAUUGUUGAGCGCCCCCUGAUUCAAGUAAAAUGGAAUUGGACAAUAUAAUUGAAGUAUGAGCUGUGUUCCUCCUAUUACAGAAAGUAUGGGACUGGAUUUCUUUUGUGUUUUUCAUGUAAUUGAAAUAGGAGAAGAAGUAUAAAUAGACCUGGACAAUGUAGCAAACACAAAAUGUGUACAAUUUGUAAAUUUCUUCUGCUUUUUACACUUUUAGCAUUGUACAAGUACUGUAAUUCGGUAUAACAUUGCAACAACAAUUUACGGCAGUAAAAAAA
RNAcentral lists this long non-coding RNA (3488 nucleotides) under Nicotiana benthamiana. Its description in RNAcentral is "long non-coding RNA (NBEN_LNC005888)". Lineage: Eukaryota; Viridiplantae; Streptophyta; Magnoliopsida; Solanales; Solanaceae. The record is from RNAcentral.